This 407-nucleotide ribosomal RNA is filed under the name uncultured bacterium. RNAcentral describes it as "bacterial SSU rRNA". It matches the Rfam family "Bacterial small subunit ribosomal RNA", at positions 355 to 774 of the family's 1533-position model. The record is from RNAcentral.
UGGGGAAUAUUGCACAAUGGGCGCAAGCCUGAUGCAGCAACGCCGCGUGAGGGACGACGGCCUUCGGGUUGUAAACCUCUUUUGGCAGGGAAGAAGCGAAAGUGACGGUACCUGCAGAAAAAGCACCGGCUAACUACGUGCCAGCAGCCGCGGUGAUACGUAAGGUGCAAGCGUUGUCCGGAAUUAUUGGGCGUAAAGAGCUCGUAGGCGGUUUGUCGCGUCUGCUGUGAAAACCCGAGGCUCAACCUCGGGCCUGCAGUGGGUACGGGCAGACUAGAGUGCGGUAGAGGAGAUUGGAAUUCCGGGUGUAGCGGUGGAAUGCGCAGAUAUCAGGAGGAACACCGAUGGCGAAGGCAGAUCUCUGGGCCGUAACUGACGCUGAGGAGCGAAAGCAUGGGGAGCGAACA